Molecule: ribosomal RNA, 406 nt
Filed under: uncultured bacterium
Lineage: Bacteria
Description: partial 16S ribosomal RNA
Rfam family: Bacterial small subunit ribosomal RNA
Source: RNAcentral
AUUGAACGCUGGCGGCAGGCCUAACACAUGCAAGUCGCGCGAGCGGCGGACGGGUGAGUAAUGACUGGGAAACUGCCUGAUGGAGGGGGAUAACUACUGGAAACGGUAGCUAAUACCGCAUACCAUCAGAUGUGCCCAGAUGGGAUUAGCUAGUAGGUGGGGUAAUGGCUCACCUAGUCGACGAUCCCUAGCUGGUCUGAGAGGAUGAACAGCCACACUGGAACUGAGACACGGUCCAGACUCCUACGGUAGUCAGCAGUGGGUAAUAUUGCACAAUGGGCGCAAGCCUGAUGCAGCCAUGCCGCGUGUAGGAAGAAGGCCUUCGGGUUGUAAAGUACUUUCAGCGGGGAGUCGUUACCCGCAGAAGAAGCACCGGCUAACUCCGUGCCAGCAGCCGCGGUAAUUC